This 253-nucleotide ribosomal RNA is filed under the name uncultured bacterium. RNAcentral describes it as "partial 16S ribosomal RNA". It matches the Rfam family "Bacterial small subunit ribosomal RNA", at positions 524 to 776 of the family's 1533-position model. The record is from RNAcentral.
UACAGAGGUCCCGAGCGUUAGGCGGAAUCACUGGGCUUAAAGCGUGUGUAGGCGGAUUUGUAAGUACCUUGUGAAAUCCCACAGCUCAACUGUGGAACUGCUUGGUAUACUGCUUAUCUUGGGCCAUCUAGGGGCUAGCGGAACAAACGGUGGAGCGGUGAAAUGCGUAGAUAUCGUUUGGAACGCCAAUGGUGAAAACAGCUAGCUGGGGAUGUGCCGACGCUGAGACACGAAAGCCAGGGGAGCGAACGGG